RNAcentral lists this long non-coding RNA (4636 nucleotides) under Pan troglodytes (chimpanzee). RNAcentral describes it as "lincRNA". The record is from RNAcentral. Lineage: Eukaryota; Metazoa; Chordata; Mammalia; Primates; Hominidae.
AUUUGGAAGAUGCUUCCAGUCAAGUCUCAAUCUCAGUCGGUCACUGGUCCAUGUAUAUUUCAUGGACAUCUACCCUGUGCUGGGCACUGGGCAGACAACAGUCUACUGGACCCAGUCUCACUCUCAAGGGGACUGUAGUCCAAGAGAGAGGCAGGUAGAUUAUCGGAUGAAGAAACUGAGGCUCAAAGAGCCACAGCGGGACGGAGGAGGUGGACCCGGCUCUGAUGCAGGUGGCUGGUUCGAUGGCAGACUCCCCUGUGCCGAGACUCCCAGACCAAAUCCGGAGGUCCUGGAGUAGAGUGGGUGGGUCCGCCAGGGCAUGGCCAGGCUGCCUGUCUCUGGAGACUCCCCCAAGGAAGUUUCUUGACCUUGAGGAUGAUAACGCAGGGCAGGCUCUUGAGGGCUGUGCAGGGACUCCCUGGAGAGCCCUGGGAAAAGCAGGUCCCCGCCUGCCUGGACCUCUGCCUCUGCUGCAGGGGCCAGCACAGGUGUCAGGUCUCCACACAUUUCAUGUCCAGGCCAUUUUCCCACUCUAGGGCCAGGGCUGGGCACUUCCCAGUCAGUGGCACAGCUGGUACUGUGGGGUCUCUCGCUGUGCAAAGGUUGGUUUCAAUCCCAAGUGUCACUGCUGGAAACACUGGCCACCCCGGGACAUGUGGUCUUGCCAGUCCUUCUGCAGGGCUCUGUUUCUUAGGUCCCAGUCAUCUGCAUGGAGCACUAGUCCGAGAUCUUCCAAGAUGCUGGGGAGGAACAAGCCUGCUAUGCUCAUUCCCAAAGGACUCCACAUCUAGAUAAAUGAAGGCCUGGAAGGCUCUUUGGCUCUACACUAGCAAAACAGCUUACGUCACCCUGCCUAAAGAGACAGUCAGGAAAUCCCCUUGUUCCUGGGCGAGGAGAAGCUGGCCCAAACGGAGUGACGGCAUUGAGCAGAUACUACCCUUGGCUCGCUCAUGGAUGGGGCGGGGCCUGCUGACCUUGACAGCAAUCAGGGGAGGGGGUUUGGAGGGAAGGGGUUAGCUGGUGAAGGUGAGGGAAAGGACUGGAGUUAGGACAGGGUGCAGCGACCACAUCCUGUGACGAGGAGGCAUCUGUGACCUGUGUGAUCUGCCAGGCAGGCAGCACAAGUCAUUGUACUGCUACUAUGCCCACUACUGAGACAGGAACAAAGAGAGGCUGUUUCUGCCUCUUGGUGCUCUCCGUUGGACACAUCUGCUGGGCAGUACUGACUUUUACCAUAGGUAUUUUUCUGCUCUUCCUUCCCUCCUCCUCUCCCUCUCUCUUUUCCAGGGCACUCACACACACACACUUGCACACAUAUGCACAGUUGCACACACAUGCAUUGAACACAUGUGCACAUAUAUGCGUUUGCAUACACUUGCACACCCACACACCUGUGCACUAGCACCCAUUUGCACGCAUGUCCACACACUUGCACACAUGUGCAUUUGCAGAAAUGCACCAUUGCACUUGUGUGACACACCUGCACACUUGCACACACCCAUUUGCAUACAGGCACAGACUCGCAUACAUUUGCACACACAGCCACAAAAUUGCACAAGCAGCACUUGUACACUGACACAUCCGUUUGUGCCUAUACAGUGCACACUUAUGCAUUUGCACACAGCUAUGCUUGCUCACACAUUUGCACACACCCACCUACACACUUGCACACAUACUACACACUUGAGCAUGCAGCACACAUACAUAUGUGCAUACAUGCACAUUUGCACAUGCACACAGCAGUGGCACACACUUCUCUAUCACUCUCCCUAGUCACUGUUCUCCCCUGUGAUUCCCACCCCUCUGACCGCCCCUGCUCACUUGCUGCCCCCUCCACUGGAAGGGCCCUAGCCUGGUGCCCUGUCUCUGUCUGUCUCCACCGUGCAGGGAGGUUUCACAAGGACUCGCUGAUGUCUCGCCUCAAGAUGGCCUGGCCGCAGCUGCUGCUGAGCGGAAGUCUCUGGGGGGCGAGGCUGAGAGGAAACCACACUCUCACUGGGGUUCCCGCAGCUCUGGCCUCUGGGGAGGGGUGCGGAGAUGUGUGGGCGUGAGAUGGCUUUGAGGGAGGGACAGCAUGAAGCUUUUCUCUGGGUCUGUCUUUUCAGUCUCCAGGACAAAACUAGGCCACUGUGCUCCAGGAGAAGGGAAAACCCAUGUCCCCCCAGGCUGGGCCCACCGGCAAAUCGGGCUCCCAGGCUCUUCUCAGCCCAUGCUUCUGUCUCUGCCUUGUCAGGCUUAUUCUUCGGGCCUUUGAAGCAGCCUUUGGUGGGCAAAGGCAUCUCAGGGAACCCUGGCCUGUCUCCUCCAGAGCUUGUGCCUUGGCCCUGGGCAGGGGCCACCAUGGGCUGUUGAUGUAAAUGGCAUCCCCAGAGUUGUGCAGUGUGGGGGCAACCCUGAGGUAUCAGCCCAGUCCCCUGUCUGCAGCUUUUGCUACCCAGCCCAGCUCCAGCUCUGUCUCUGUCACUGGGGGUGGUGGGGGAGGCUGGAGCUCAGGGACGGGGCACUCCUGGCAGAUUCUCCCUGCCCCAGGUGGAAGGGGAGGGGGGAAGUGCCCAUCCUCCAUCCUCCUAUCCUGCCAGCGGGGUGGGCGCUACUAUGCUGGGGAGGGUCUGGCUGAAUAAUGAUGCUGAGCUCGGGACACCAGCCUUCUCCGUGCACCUACUGUGUGCCAAGUACCGUCCCAAGAGCAUUAUGGGUGGUAACUUAUACAAUGACUCAGAGAGGCACCGCUAUAGUCACCCCCAGUUUCUGUCUGGUUCCAGUCCUGGCCACACAGCUAAUAAGCAGCAAAUGGAUUUGAUCUGAUUUUAUCUGAACCCGGGCAGCUGGCCCAGAGCCCACUGUCUAAUCAUUGGGCCGUCCAGCCUGUCAAGACUCCAGGCUCGCUGGCGUCGCACCCCUCUGUCAUUUCCCAGGGAAACAAGCUCUAGCAGCACCUGCCCUGUGGGCACUUUGGCCCUGCCUCCCUGCCUCUCAUGAUAGGAGCCAAAGAAUGGUCUCCUUUGCAGGAAAGGAGCUCGACAGGGGUCUUCUCUUGCAGGCUCUGUCUUGCAUGUGGGUCCUGAGCUUUCUCAUUGAGUAAGGGGAGGGGGCAGCAGGUUCAGUCCAGCGCAGAGUGGAUGGAGGCCGGUUGAGGCUUUCUUGAAACCCUAAGCCCAGCUGGGAUCCUCGGGGAAGGAUCCUUCGCUGGGACCUGACUGGAGGUCAGUGGGGCACGUGGCUGGAGCCCAAGUAGGAGGGAGGAAGAAAUGGUGGUCUGAGUCCUGGGGUGACCAGGCCCUGAACCUGCCCUGCUGGGACCCCAUUCCCUGACUCUAGGCCCCCUUUCCCCACCACACAGGACACCAGGCUCUUGCCUUAAGAUAGGAAAGGAAAUGCCUUAUGGUGAACAAUUCUCCAGGUCCCUAGUGUGGCUCCAACAGAUGCCAGAGGGACAUGGCAGGUGACCCUGGUCUCCUAUGACCCUGACUUUACUUGCUGUCAUGAGGCCAAUCUCUUACCUUGACCCACCUCCUGCCUCUGCUUUCAGAAGGGCAGAAGAGAGGCCUCCUCUAGCUUCCCAGCCGCCCCCCGCCUCCUGCUGCCCGGCAGCGCUGGGCCCCCCAGCAGCGAGGUUCAGGAGGGGAAGAACCUCUCGCAGGUGAACAAAUUGCUGCACAUCAGACACAUUCUUUUCAAGCCUCAUUUUCUCUCCUUUUCAUGCUAACUUUCCCACUAUUAAAGAGCAUUUUUAAAAAGAAGAUGAAAAAAGGGAGAGAGAAAAGAAGGAUGAAAGUGUGAGCGGGUAUCCGGAAGUCCUUUUCAAUUGCCUGCUGCUGUGCAGGGUCUGAACUAAGAGCAAGAAAUUGGAGGAUGCUGGAGGGGUGAGGUUUCGUUUCAGUCCCGCCUAUUGGGACAAGUCUGGGGCGGGGAAGGAGAGGUGAUGGAGGUGGGCCUGGCUGGGCCCUGCGGCCCUGGAGGCUGCCCCUCUGCCCGCCACCCAGCCCCUGGCCUGUGCCUGGCACAGGAAGCCUGUCAAUAAUUUCUUGUUGAAUGAAUGAAAGAGAAGAAAUCAGUGGAUGGAGAAGGGCUGGAUUCUUUUGUGGGGACCUUCCACGCCACCUUCUCUGUGGGGCUCUAGGGCUGAGAAAGAAAGGACAGAUUUGGCAAAGGUCAGGCAGGGGCUGGGAAAGCAUUAGGUGGACCAGGCAUGCUACAGCAAGGCCACGCCUGCACUGUUGUCCCACUGGUGACAUCCAUGGGUGCAGCCAUGGCGGGUGGGCGCAGUUUCACAUGGGAUUGGGGGUGAGCCUGGGUUGGGUGGGCGACCCCCACCCCUUCCCUACCCCUCUCCCCACCAGCAGGUACUACUGGGUCUGCGUGAAGAAAAAAGCUCAGGAACAUGCCAGGAAGGUGUGACCAUGAUGAUACCUCUGAGACGAACCCAAGAAGAAACAGCAGAGUAUUACAAAGGGGAACAGGACUCAGGGUGGACUUCAAGUAUCAUUAAACAUAAUCAAAUAUUUAAAAAGUUAUUAUUGACUGGGUGCAGUGGCUCACGGCUUUAAUCCCAGCACUUAGAGAGGCCAAGGUAGGAAGAUUGCUUUAGCCUAGGAGUUUGAGACCAGCAUGGGCAACAUAGUGAGACCCCACCUCU